This 206-nucleotide ribosomal RNA is filed under the name uncultured Veillonellaceae bacterium. RNAcentral describes it as "partial 16S ribosomal RNA". It matches the Rfam family "Bacterial small subunit ribosomal RNA", at positions 568 to 774 of the family's 1533-position model. Lineage: Bacteria; Bacillati; Bacillota; Negativicutes; Veillonellales; Veillonellaceae. The record is from RNAcentral.
CAUGUAGGUGGAUACUUAAGUCUGUUGUGAAAAUGCGGGGCUCAACCCCGUAUUGCGAUGGAAACUGGGUGUCUUGAGUGCAGGAGAGGAAAGGGGAAUUCCCAUUGUAGCGGUGAAAUGCGUAGAUAUUGGGAGGAACACCAGUGGCGAAGGCGCCUUUCUGGACUGUGUCUGACACUGAGAUGCGAAAGCUAGGGGAGCGAACG